Glycine soja is the source of this 801-nucleotide long non-coding RNA. RefSeq lists it as uncharacterized. The transcript is spliced from 2 exons. The record is from RefSeq and is a predicted model, not a curated record. Lineage: Eukaryota; Viridiplantae; Streptophyta; Magnoliopsida; Fabales; Fabaceae.
GAUUGUUACUCUUAUAUCCAUGUGUAGAAACAAUACGAUCAUAAAACCAUAAUAGAUCUAUGAAUUAUAACAAUUGAAGCUUGAACUAAUGGUGUAAAAACAGAAGCCGCAAAAAGGUUAUAACUCUAAAACAAAGGAAAAAAAAAAAAGAUUAAAAAUAGCUAUCACCAUGAUAGAAAGGAUAUAGUAAAAAAUAUAAUGACAACAAUGUCUGGAAUAUUUUUCUUAUUUUAUAGGAAAAAAAGAAUGAAACCAAUGCCUAUUUGGUAUUAACUCAUUUGAGUAGUUUUACUUUUUAUUUUUACUUUGCUAACAAUGCUUGCAGGAUAAAGGUAAAAAAAUAAUGAAGCUUUGUUAUAUGUAGUUUAGAUAAUUAAUUUGCUUAUUUACAGUAUGAUUAUUCAAAAGCAUUUAAUUUGCAGGUAUUGAACCUAACCAAAGCAUAUGUUGAAGGGCUAGGAGAAGGUGGUUUUGGAUAAGUUUUUAAGGGGUGGAUCAAUGAGAAUUCAUUGACUGCUACCAAACUUGGCACUAGCAUUGUUAUUGCUAUUAAAAGACUCAAUCAAGAUGGUAUCCAGGGUCAUAGGGAGUGAUCCGGGAGGACCUUAUUUAUGGAAUUUGUGAAGCCGUAGAUGCAGAAAAGGAUCCAGAUUGUUUAAAGCUUGCUUUUCAUACUGUUAAGUCUUUGUCACAAUUAUAUCCAGAUUCAUCUGGUCUACUUGCAAACUUUGCUAAAGAUGUUUUUGAUAUUUUAGAACCUUACUUUCCCAUUCACUUUAUACAUGUAAGCUUAAUCUUUCA